Molecule: ribosomal RNA, 449 nt
Filed under: uncultured bacterium
Lineage: Bacteria
Description: partial 16S ribosomal RNA
Rfam family: Bacterial small subunit ribosomal RNA
Source: RNAcentral
CCUACGGGCGGCAGCAGUGGGGAAUUUUGGACAAUGGGGGCAACCCUGAUCCAGCCAUUCCGCGUGAGUGAAGAAGGCCUUCGGGUUGUAAAGCUCUUUCGCAAGGGAAGAAAACUUACUCAAUAACACUGGGUGAGGCUGACGGUACCUUGAUAAGAAGCACCGGCUAACUACGUGCCAGCAGCCGCGGUAAUACGUAGGGUGCGACCGUGAGUCGGGCGUACGCGGCGUAAAGCGUGCGUAAGAGGUUAAAUCCCCGGGCUCAACCUGGGAACUGCGUGUGAAACUACAAGGCUAGAGUAUGGCAGAGGGGGGUAGAAUUCCACGUGUAGCAGUGAAAUGCGUAGAGAUGUGGAGGAAUACCAAUGGCGAAGGCAGCCCCCUGGGUCAAUACUGACGCUCAUGCACGAAAGCGUGGGGAGCAAACAGGAUUAGAUACCCGAGUAGUC